GGGAAAGUGGCUCAGUGGUAGAGUGCUUGCUUUGCAUGCAUGAGGCCCUGGGUUCAAUUCCUCAGCACCA
Non-coding RNA from Dipodomys ordii (Ord's kangaroo rat), 70 nucleotides. Lineage: Eukaryota; Metazoa; Chordata; Mammalia; Rodentia; Heteromyidae. The record is from Rfam.